RNAcentral lists this long non-coding RNA (233 nucleotides) under Spirodela polyrhiza (greater duckweed). Its description in RNAcentral is "long non-coding RNA (SPOL_LNC002054)". The record is from RNAcentral. Lineage: Eukaryota; Viridiplantae; Streptophyta; Magnoliopsida; Alismatales; Araceae.
UCGCAAAAUCUUCGCAUCAGAUGGAAACGACGUCCAUUAAAGAGCCCAUAAAAAUAAUCCUUUUCAUUUUAAAACCAGGUGGGAAUGUUUCAUUUGUUGAACGCUCCAUCGUGCAAUGGAGACGUACUGUCACCAGUUGAAGGUAAUUCUAUCGCUAAAUGAUCUCUCAAGUGCCCUGUGAGGAAUAAACUCGGUAAUUGGAUCGCUGUAGACGACGCUCAUGCACACCGAUC